This 492-nucleotide ribosomal RNA is filed under the name uncultured bacterium. RNAcentral describes it as "partial 16S ribosomal RNA". It matches the Rfam family "Bacterial small subunit ribosomal RNA", at positions 29 to 507 of the family's 1533-position model. The record is from RNAcentral.
AGUGAACGCUGGCGGUAGGCCUAACACAUGCAAGUCGAACGGCAGCACAGUAAGCGCUUGCUCUUACGGGUGGCGAGUGGGGGACGGGUAAGAAAUCGAUCGGAAUCUACUUUUUCGUGGGGGAUAACGUCGGGAAACUUACGCUAAUACCGCAUACGCCCUACGGGUGAAAGCAGGGGAUCUUCGGAGAUUGCGCGACUGAAUGAGCCGAUGUCGGAUUAGCUAGUUGGCGGGGCAAAGGCCCACCAAGGCGGCGAUCCGUAGCUGGUCUGAUAGGAUGAUCAGCGACACUGGAACGGAGACACGGUCCAGACGCCUACGGGAGGCAGCAGUGGGGAAUAUUGGAGAAUGGGCGCAAGCCUGAUCCAGCCAUGCCGCGGGGGGGAAGAUGGCCUUCGGGUUGUAAAGCCCUUUUUUUGGGAGAGAAGAGCAGCAGGUUUAUAUCUCGCUGCUCUGACGGUACCUAAAGAAUAAGCACCGGCUAACUUCGUG